UUUAACUGGAGGAAGGUGGGGAUGACGUCAAGUCAUCAUGGCCCCUACGGCCUGGGCUACACACGUGGUACAAUGGUCGGUACAGAGGGUUGCCAAGCCGCGAGGUGGAGCUAAUCCCAUAAAACCGAUCGUAGUUCGGAUCGCAGUCUGCAACUCGACUGCGUGAAGUCGGAAUCGAUAGUAAUCGCGAAUCAGAACGUCGCGGUGAAUACGUUCCCGGGCCUUGUACACACCGCCCGUCACACCAUGGGAGUGGGUUGCACCAGAAGUAGGUAGUGUAACCUUCGGGAGGACGGCUACCACGGUGUGAUCAUGACUGGGGUGAAGUCGAGCU
RNAcentral lists this ribosomal RNA (334 nucleotides) under Pseudomonas fluorescens. RNAcentral's name for it is "bacterial SSU rRNA". It matches the Rfam family "Bacterial small subunit ribosomal RNA", at positions 1158 to 1493 of the family's 1533-position model. The record is from RNAcentral. Lineage: Bacteria; Pseudomonadati; Pseudomonadota; Gammaproteobacteria; Pseudomonadales; Pseudomonadaceae.